Non-coding RNA from Musa acuminata subsp. malaccensis (wild Malaysian banana), 362 nucleotides. The record is from RefSeq and is a predicted model, not a curated record. NCBI's taxonomy places the organism in Eukaryota, Viridiplantae, Streptophyta, Magnoliopsida, Zingiberales, Musaceae.
UCCACGGAAUCGGGGUGGUCAGCAACGCCAGAAGCCGCAGGGAGGAGCAGCCGGCGAUCUCCGUUCGCCUUCUCCUUUCCUUCCACUGAACUAGAAAUGGAUGUUGCGUACAUCUGUGGAGGAGCGGGUUGGGCGCAAUGCGGAUCGGCCAUUGUCUUCUCUCCAGAUCUCAUAUUGGCUCCAUUACAACCGCGACAGAAGGUAAUCGUCAUAUUUCUCUCCGUAAUUUAGGGUUCCUGUUGAUGUUAUGCAGCUCUUCUUGGGUUUUCGCAAACCCUAGCCGAUUCAUUUCACUUCAGAACAUGAUAAUUGGUAGUUGGUAUAUUUAUCAGAACUGCAAAAUUCUUUGCAUCUUGGAUGAA